Molecule: ribosomal RNA, 557 nt
Filed under: uncultured archaeon
Lineage: Archaea
Description: bacterial SSU rRNA
Rfam family: Archaeal small subunit ribosomal RNA
Source: RNAcentral
CCUUCGGGGCGCAGCAGGCGCGAAAACUUUACAAUGCUGGAAACAGCGAUAGGGGGACUUUGAGUGCCAGGAUACAAUUCUGGCUGUCGUCGUGCCUAAAAAGCACGGCAUAGCAAGGGCCGGGCAAGACCGGUGCCAGCCGCCGCGGUAACACCGGCGGCUCGAGUGGUAACCGCUAUUAUUGGGUCUAAAGGGUCUGUAGCCGGCUGAAAAAGUCUCUUGGGAAAUCUGGCUGCUCAACAGUCAGGCUUUCAGGAGAUACUCUUCGGCUCGAGACCGGGAGAGGUGAGAGGUACUUCAUGGGUAGGGGUGAAAUCUUGUAAUCCUUGAAGGACCACCAGUGGCGAAGGCGUCUCACCAGAACGGAUCUGACGGCAAGGGACGAAAGCUAGGGGCACGAACCGGAUUAGAUACCCGGGUAGUCCUAGCCGUAAACGAUACUCGCUAGGUGUCGGCCACGGUGCGACCGUGGUCGGUGCCGUAGGGAAGCCGUGAAGCGAGCCACCUGGGAAGUACGGCCGCAAGGCUGAAACUUAAAGGAAUUGGCGGGGGAGCAC